UCCCGAGUCGUCUAAUGGUAGGACACGGCCCUUUGGAGGCCGGUGUCUUGGUUCGAAUCCAAGCUCGGGAG
Molecule: transfer RNA, 71 nt
Filed under: Candidatus Berkelbacteria bacterium RBG_13_40_8
Lineage: Bacteria; Candidatus Berkelbacteria
Description: tRNA-Gln
Rfam family: tRNA
About the family: Transfer RNA (tRNA) molecules are approximately 80 nucleotides in length.
Source: RNAcentral